RNAcentral lists this ribosomal RNA (331 nucleotides) under uncultured eukaryote. RNAcentral describes it as "partial 18S ribosomal RNA". It matches the Rfam family "Eukaryotic small subunit ribosomal RNA", at positions 1470 to 1796 of the family's 1831-position model. The record is from RNAcentral.
CCCUUAGAUGUUCUGGGCCGCACGCGCGCUACACUGUUCGACGCAGCGAAUCUUAACCUUGACCGAAAGGUUUGGGUAAUCUUCAGCAAAGUCGAACGUGAUGGGGAUCGAUCAUUGCAAUUAUUGAUCGUGAACGAGGAAUUCCUAGUAAGUGCAAGUCAUCAGCUUGCGCUGAUUACGUCCCUGCCCUUUGUACACACCGCCCGUCGCUACUACCGAUUGAAUGGUUUAGUGAGAUCUCUGGAUUGACGCUGGCUAGGGGGCGACCCUUGGCCAGACUGUUGAGAAACUGCUCAAACUUGAUCAUUUAGAGGAAGUAAAAGUCGUAACA